GGGUUGUGAGGUUAAGCGACUAAGCGUACACGGUGGAUGCCCUGGCAGUCAGAGGCGAUGAAGGGCGUGCUAAUCUGCGAUAAGCGCCGGUAAGGUGAUAUGAACCGUUAUAACCGGCGAUACCCGAAUGGGGAAACCCAGUGUGAUUCGUCACACUAUCAUUAACUGAAUCCAUAGGUUAAUGAGGCGAACCGGGGGAACUGAAACAUCUAAGUACCCCGAGGAAAAGAAAUCAACCGAGAUUCCCCCAGUAGCGGCGAGCGAACGGGGAGGAGCCCAGAGCCUGAAUCAGCAUGUGUGUUAGUGGAAGCGUCUGGAAAGGUGCGCGAUACAGGGUGACAGCCCCGUACACAAAAGCGCAUGUGCUGUGAGCUCGAUGAGUAGGGCGGGACACGUGGUAUCCUGUCUGAAUAUGGGGGGGGACCAUCCUCCAAGGCUAAAUACUCCUGACUGACCGAUAGUGAACCAGUACCGUGAGGAAAGGCGAAAAGAACCCCGGCGAGGGGAGUGAAAAAGAACCUGAAACCGUGUACGUACAAGCAGUGGGAGCACAGGUUUACCUGUGUGACUGCGUACCUUUUGUAUAAUGGGUCAGCGACUUAUAUUCUGUAGCAAGGUUAACCGUAUAGGGGAGCCGGAGGGAAACCGAGUCUUAAUUGGGCGUUAAGUUGCAGGGUAUAGACCCGAAACCCGGUGAUCUAGCCAUGGGCAGGUUGAAGGUUGGGUAACACUAACUGGAGGACCGAACCGACUAAUGUUGAAAAAUUAGCGGAUGACCUGUGGCUGGGGGUGAAAGGCCAAUCAAACCGGGAGAUAGCUGGUUCUCCCCGAAAGCUAUUUAGGUAGCGCCUCGUGAAUUCAUCUCCGGGGGUAGAGCACUGUUUCGGCUAGGGGGCCAUCCCGGCUUACCAACCCGAUGCAAACUGCGAAUACCGGAGAAUGUUAUCACGGGAGACACACGGCGGGUGCUAACGUCCGUCGUGAAGAGGGAAACAACCCAGACCGCCAGCUAAGGUCCCAAAGUCAUGGUUAAGUGGGAAACGAUGUGGGAAGGCCCAGACAGCCAGGAUGUUGGCUUAGAAGCAGCCAUCAUUUAAAGAAAGCGUAAUAGCUCACUGGUCGAGUCGGCCUGCGCGGAAGAUGUAACGGGGCUAAACCAUGCACCGAAGCUGCGGCAGCGAACGUAUCACCCAAGACAACUUUACGGAGUUGACGAUUGACGGAGCGAAGCGACGUCAAAGCGUUCAUUAAAGUCGAGUUGGCUUAGGGAUACGUUCGUUGGGUAGGGGAGCGUUCUGUAAGCCUGUGAAGGUGUGUCGUGAGGCAUGCUGGAGGUAUCAGAAGUGCGAAUGCUGACAUAAGUAACGAUAAAGCGGGUGAAAAGCCCGCUCGCCGGAAGACCAAGGGUUCCUGUCCAACGUUAAUCGGGGCAGGGUGAGUCGACCCCUAAGGCGAGGCCGAAAGGCGUAGUCGAUGGGAAACGGGUUAAUAUUCCCGUACUUGGUGUUACUGCGAAGGGGGGACGGAGAAGGCUAUGUUGGCCGGGCGACGGUUGUCCCGGUUUAAGCGUGUAGGUGUGUGUUCCAGGUAAAUCCGGUUCACUUUAACACUGAGGCGUGACGACGAGGCACUACGGUGCUGAAGCAACAAAUGCCCUGCUUCCAGGAAAAGCCUCUAAGCAUCAGGUAACAUCAAAUCGUACCCCAAACCGACACAGGUGGUCAGGUAGAGAAUACCAAGGCGCUUGAGAGAACUCGGGUGAAGGAACUAGGCAAAAUGGUGCCGUAACUUCGGGAGAAGGCACGCUGACACGUAGGUGAAGUGAUUUACUCAUGGAGCUGAAGUCAGUCGAAGAUACCAGCUGGCUGCAACUGUUUAUUAAAAACACAGCACUGUGCAAACACGAAAGUGGACGUAUACGGUGUGACGCCUGCCCGGUGCCGGAAGGUUAAUUGAUGGGGUCAGCGCAAGCGAAGCUCCUGAUCGAAGCCCCGGUAAACGGCGGCCGUAACUAUAACGGUCCUAAGGUAGCGAAAUUCCUUGUCGGGUAAGUUCCGACCUGCACGAAUGGCGUAAUGAUGGCCCAGGCUGUCUCCACCCGAGACUCAGUGAAAUUGAACUCGCUGUGAAGAUGCAGUGUACCCGCGGCAAGACGGAAAGACCCCGUGAACCUUUACUAUAGCUUGACACUGAACAUUGAGCCUUGAUGUGUAGGAUAGGUGGGAGGCUUUGAAGUGUGGACGCCAGUCUGCAUGGAGCCGACCUUGAAAUACCACCCUUUAAUGUUUGAUGUUCUAACGUGGACCCGUAAUCCGGGUUGCGGACAGUGUCUGGUGGGUAGUUUGACUGGGGCGGUCUCCUCCUAAAGAGUAACGGAGGAGCACGAAGGUUGGCUAAUCCGGUCGGACAUCAGGAGGUUAGUGCAAUGGCAUAAGCCAGCUUGACUGCGAGCGUGACGGCGCGAGCAGGUGCGAAAGCAGGUCAUAGUGAUCCGGUGGUUCUGAAUGGAAGGGCCAUCGCUCAACGGAUAAAAGGUACUCCGGGGAUAACAGGCUGAUACCGCCCAAGAGUUCAUAUCGACGGCGGUGUUUGGCACCUCGAUGUCGGCUCAUCACAUCCUGGGGCUGAAGUAGGUCCCAAGGGUAUGGCUGUUCGCCAUUUAAAGUGGUACGCGAGCUGGGUUUAGAACGUCGUGAGACAGUUCGGUCCCUAUCUGCCGUGGGCGCUGGAGAACUGAGGGGGGGCUGCUCCUAGUACGAGAGGACCGGAGUGGACGCAUCACUGGUGUUCGGGUUGUCAUGCCAAUGGCACUGCCCGGUAGCUAAAUGCGGAAGAGAUAAGUGCUGAAAGCAUCUAAGCACGAAACUUGCCCCGAGAUGAGUUCUCCCUGAGACUUAGAGUCUCCUGAAGGAACGUUGAAGACGACGACGUUGAUAGGCCGGGUGUGUAAGCGCAGCGAUGCGUUGAGCUAACCGGUACUAAUGAACCGUGAGGCUUAACCUUACAACGCCGAAG
Molecule: ribosomal RNA, 3015 nt
Filed under: Salmonella enterica subsp. enterica serovar Typhimurium
Lineage: Bacteria; Pseudomonadati; Pseudomonadota; Gammaproteobacteria; Enterobacterales; Enterobacteriaceae
Description: 23S ribosomal RNA
Rfam family: Bacterial large subunit ribosomal RNA
Source: RNAcentral